GGAAAGCUGCAGAUAAUAAAAUUGAAAAAACAAAAAUGAAGGCAAUCUUGAGUCGCUUGUCUUUCUUGCAAAUUUUCAAACUCAUGUUUUCUCGAAAAUAGCAAAAAAAUAGCAAAAAAAAAAAAGGAAAAAUGAUAAACCAAAAACAAAGGUUGCAGUGUUAGGCUUUUCCGAGGUCAAAUGUUAAAUCAAAAAUAACAAUUUGACAUUUCUCUCAAGAUGUUUGUGCGCAUGUUGCUUGAAAACCUUCACCCUUCAGUUUCCCCAAAAUAAAGGAUCUUCCCCAACAAACACUGUCACUGCCCUCAGUAACAAAAACCCUUACACUGGGGCAAAUUGGCCUGACCAAAGGUUUUCUCGCUUGCGCUAGUAGGGUGAUCCCUGAAUCCCAUAGGACAAAUUGAAAUUGAAAAAAAAGAAAAAAUUGAAAAAAGAAAGACAAAAUAAAAAAAAGAAGACUAAGCCCACUAGAUUGAAAACCCGAAAGGGCAGUCUAGAAAGGAAAAAACAAGAAACAAAAAGAAAAAAAAAGUGACUCAUGUUGAGGUCAUCCAGUCGCAAAAUUAAUCUUUUGAAAAUAAAGCAAUCAGAGUUCAAAAUGAUGUGUGGCCUUCUUGUUUUACCUAAAAGCAAAAAUAUAUCCAUUGUCACCCUAUUUGAGCCAAAAAUAAAUUCUUUUUUCAAGAUCAUCCCCAAGCAAGGGUUGUCAUCAGGUAGGAGUCAACCCAUGAUGCAAAUAAGAGCACUCAAUGAUCAAACGAAGAGAAUUCAUCAAGAAGAGUGAAUAAUAAACAAAGAAAAACAAAAAGAACAAUAAAAAAUCACAAAGUGAUGUUGAGCAAAAAGAAUGAAAAACGAAGUUCAAGAAAAAAGCAAAGUGCUCAAAAGGUCAAAUAGUUGAUGCAAUGUCUAGAUGAUAACCUUUGUUGCAAAGAAUAUAACCGACAAACAUUCAUUUGAGCCUUUAUACCCUUUCUUUCAAUACCUUUUAGCCCCUAGCCACGUUACAAGCCUGAUAAAGUCCACACUGAUUGGAUAAUGAUUGCUCAAAUUUUCAUAAAGCUUAAGUUUGCGAUAAGGUGACUUUCACAACGUCGUAAAAAAUUUGAAAAAGAAAAAAAAAGAGAGAAGAAAAAAGGUAAUGUCUCGGGAAGAGGGAUCACCCUACCAUCUAACCAAAAGCAUGGCAAAAGGAAAUCAAACCAAUUGGGGGUCAUCCUUUUAACCUAUCCUUUUCAUACCCACUACCUCUUUCAAACAGAACCACGCGCCAAAGAAAAAUAGGGGCAACUUUGUGAAUCUCACGCGAAGUCUUCGCCCUGAAAUUCAUCGACCCAUAAUCUUAAGACUGGGGCAGCUUUAAGGACCGCCUUUGAAUUUUCACCCUAAUUUUCAUGAAUCCAAACCCCAACUCAUUUUCCAUAACACCAAGCUGGGACACCCUUUGUACAUCUCGUGUUCACCCUGACAUUCUCAUGUCACAUCUCCUUUGAGGAUUAUGAGGAAUGACUUGUCGAUACAGUUAUCCCAUUCUCCACUAAACCCUUAUAAACAUUUCUCAUUUCUCCACUUGCC
RNAcentral lists this long non-coding RNA (1575 nucleotides) under Vigna radiata. Its description in RNAcentral is "long non-coding RNA (VRAD_LNC011815)". The record is from RNAcentral. Lineage: Eukaryota; Viridiplantae; Streptophyta; Magnoliopsida; Fabales; Fabaceae.